This 479-nucleotide ribosomal RNA is filed under the name uncultured bacterium. RNAcentral describes it as "partial 16S ribosomal RNA". It matches the Rfam family "Bacterial small subunit ribosomal RNA", at positions 28 to 523 of the family's 1533-position model. The record is from RNAcentral.
GACGAACGCUGGCGGCGUGCUUAACACAUGCAAGUCGAACGGUAAGGCCCUUCGGGGUACACGAGAGGCGAACGGGUGAGUAACACGUGGGUGAUCUGCCCUGCACUUCGGGAUAAGCCUGGGAAACUGGGUCUAAUACCGGAUAGGACCACUGCCUGCAUGGGUGGUGGUGGAAAGCUUUUGCGGUGUGGGAUGGGCCCGCGGCGCUAUCAGCUUGUUGGUGGGGUGAUGGCCUACCAAGGCGACGACGGGUAGCCGGCCUGAGAGGGUGACCGGCCACACGGGGACGGAGAUACGGCCCAGACUCCUACUGGAGGCAGCAGUGGGGAAUAUUGGACAAUGGGCGCAAGCCUGCUGCAGCGACGCCGCGUGAGGGAUGACGGCCUUCGGGUUGUAAACCUCUUUCAGCACCGACGAAGCGCAAGUGGCGGUAGGUGCAGAAGAAGGACCGGCCAACUACGUGCCAGCCGCCGCCGUAA